AGUGAACGCUGGCGGUAGGCCUAACACAUGCAAGUCGAACGGCAGCACAGGAGAGCUUGCUCUCUGGGUGGCGAGUGGCGGACGGGUGAGGAAUACAUCGGAAUCUACUCUGUCGUGGGGGAUAACGUAGGGAAACUUACGCUAAUACCGCAUACGACCUACGGGUGAAAGCAGGGGACCUUCGGGCCUUGCGCGAUUGAAUGAGCCGAUGUCGGAUUAGCUAGUUGGCGGGGUAAAGGCCCACCAAGGCGACGAUCCGUAGCUGGUCUGAGAGGAUGAUCAGCCCCACUGGAACUGCGACACGGUCCAGACUCCUACGGGAGGCAGCAGUGGGGGAUAUUGGACAAUGGGCGCAAGCCUGAUCCAGCCAUACCGCGUGGGUGAAGAAGGCCUUCGGGUUGUAAAGCCCUUUUGUUGGGAAAGAAAUCCAGCUGGCUAAUACCCGGUUGGGAUGACGGUACCCAAAGAAUAAGCACCGGCUAACUUCGUGCCAGCCGCCGCGGUAA
This 506-nucleotide ribosomal RNA is filed under the name uncultured bacterium. Its description in RNAcentral is "partial 16S ribosomal RNA". It matches the Rfam family "Bacterial small subunit ribosomal RNA", at positions 29 to 523 of the family's 1533-position model. The record is from RNAcentral.